Molecule: long non-coding RNA, 2524 nt
Organism: Aethalodelphis obliquidens (Pacific white-sided dolphin)
Lineage: Eukaryota; Metazoa; Chordata; Mammalia; Artiodactyla; Delphinidae
Exons: 2
Source: RefSeq, a predicted model, not a curated record
GCUCGCGUCUGCGCAGAGGUGAGCGUGGUCUCCGGCGUGUGGAGCGGGCGCACCUCGGGACCCGGGGACCCGGGGACCCGGGGACCCGGGGAUGCAGGGAUCCCGGGCCCGGCAGCCGUCUCCCCGCCGGGGCUUCCGGUUCCCCAUCACCUCACGGAAACUCAGUCUCCAGGACGGUUCUCGAAGAGCCAGUUUAUUAAUUACAACAAAGGCAUAAACAACUUAGACGCCAAAGUCCGGCUGAGGAGAGAAACGGACGGGUGAGGAUGGUUGUCCGGGACCGGGCUGUGCUCACGGACGAGACGGCGUGACCUGGUCAGUCAGGGCUGGGAAGUCACACGGAAACGCCCUCCUCUCGGUCCGAGUGUGAGCGGCCGCCCCGCACGGACCGCCGAGGCCCGGCUGCGGCUGCGGGCGCGCGAGGGAUGCUCGGGCCGGAGGCGGCGGGGCCAGCCGGCGGCCUGGGCGCUGUCGGCACCUCCGCGGGCCGCGCCGGUCACCGCUCGAGGCCCGCCCCGCCCGGGGCUCGGCCGUGGCAACUCGGCGGCACUGACCGCACCGCACCGCGCGAGCGACUCUCGGGCCUAAGCGUCUGCAGACAUUCGUGUUGCGGAAGAGGAGACACGAAACAGUGAACGAAAACGAGCUGCUGGCAUCACUUUCCCCACAAUAUUACAUAAAAACGGACAGCACGUUAAAUAAACAUUUUGUUAUUAAUCAUUAAAUAUAUGAACACCGACAAUCAUGUAUAAAUUAGGAAAUAGAUGUACAAACUAUUUCACAAAGUGCUUUUAAAAAUAUAUACACAACAUUCAAGAAAUUCUUAAUGUAAGACAUUUCAGAUUGAAGUUUCGGGAUAAGUUUUUUUAAGUGUCCUUUUCCUUCAAAAAGUAUUAAUACAGCACUUAAAAAAAACAAACACACAUACACACACAUAAAAGGCAUAUUCCCAGAUUGGCAAGGAAUAAAAAUAAACUAUUUUCACAGUUCUCUGAAAUGCUUAACAUUUUCAACGGGAAAAUUUAAUCCCCGACGGAGUUUGCAAAUUCUAUGAAAAUUGUCAGGAAAGAACAGGACAAAAUCAAGGGAAAUGACUCCCUAAAUGAAAUUACUAAUGUCUGUGUCAUUUAGCGGUUAAGGACUCUCAUUUCAAUAAUUUAAUACAGAGAUGUAUUUUUAAGCCCUUACCAGUGUUAAGGGUUUCUAAAAACCCGUAUGUCUACAAAAUAAACACUUCUAUCCCAAUGCAUGUGUGAUUCUGUCUCCACAGAGGAGGGGAGAAGGUCCUAGAACAGGACUUCUACUCGUCCCGCCCCUUCUUUCCUCUGAGCCGUAGUGCUUCAUCUGCAAAACAGCAACAAAAACUGACGCAAAUCACAGAAGAUGCCUCCCACCCCCCCCCCCCCCCCAUCGAGGCACAGGAAGAGGCUGCCAUCCAGGGGCUGUGCACACGUGUCCAGCUGCGGUGCGGACAGUGAAAGACAAGUUUACAACCCACGGUGCGACAGUGCAGGAGGAGUGUCAGCCCUAAGGUCUGUUUAUACAAGUACGUGGACUAUGGCCUCCUGUAGGUGUCCCAUCACUGGGCACAGAACACUCUGAUGACAAAAGGACCCCUAAAGCUAGCUAGAAACACGGCGGGGGGGGGGGAGGCGGACAAAAAGGGACAACCUCUCCGUGUAUGGACGUACAAUACUAUACACAGCACCAAAUAUGUCACACCAUCAAAGCGCUGUCUUGCACCGGCGGUGCACGCUCGGCGUCCUACCCCACGUGAAAUGUGCACGCUUCACAUGCAGACGCUGCGUGGGGUGAAGGGGCAGCCCGCAGGUCACAGCUCAUCAGAACUGUCACUGGCCUGUCCAUCCCAGACAGACAUGCCGCUGCAAGCCUCCAUAAGAAUGUUUGUCCUUUACUGCUGGUAAUUUCCGUACUGGCCCUGCAAGAGACCAAGACACAGAUUACACCCCAACAGUCCUGCAUAAGAGGGUCCACGCCCAAGGGUAAGACAGACUCCCGCCCCCCCCGCCAACACCCAGGAUGAGAGGUGGAGGGAACAUAAAAGGCAAGCGACCAAACAGCCUCUGCCUGUUUCCACGAGGCAGGCAGAUAAGCGGCCGUCCAGAAGCCACUCUCCAGGCUGCAGCGACUGAUUUAGGUCAGAGGGUGGAAGAGGCUGGUUCACCCAGUCACACAGCAGCUCACUGUGCUGGGCCUGGUCCAGGUGCCUCAAGUCACGUCCCCACCCUGAGCCUGCUGUGAACAGGUCUGUGACGGGCUCCCUCAGCCACAAACGACAUUGGCACCACUUCCGGCACACUUGGGAACAUUCCACACUGCUCUCUUCAAGGUCAAAAAGGUUUCCUCCUUAAUUACCCUGCCCUGGGCUUGUUCACUCGUGUUGAAAACUCAUCCUCUAAGUAUGACUGGUUCAUGAUCUCUCUUUAGAGAGCAGGGUGAGAAGCAUUUAAAAGAAUAAAAUACAGGACCUUCCUAUUCAGGUACCUGAGAAAAACACCCGUCA